Molecule: ribosomal RNA, 3028 nt
Filed under: bacterium
Lineage: Bacteria
Description: 23S ribosomal RNA
Rfam family: Bacterial large subunit ribosomal RNA
Source: RNAcentral
UUGGUCAAGCAAGUAAGAGCAUUCGGUGGAUGCCUUGGCACUAGAAGGCGAUGAAGGACGUGGUUAGCUGCGAUAAGCUUCGGUGAGCUGCCAGCAAGCUUUGAACCGGAGAUUUCCGAAUGGGGGAACCUGAUGCGGGUAAUACUGUAUCAUCCCUGCCUGAAUAAAAUAGGGUAGGGAAGCAAACCUAGAAAACUGAAACAUCUUAGUAACUAGAGGAAAAGAAAGCAAGCGCGAUUUCCUGAGUAGUGGCGAGCGAAAUGGAAAGAUUGCCCAAACCGUAUGUGUGUUAAAGGUGAUACCCGUUGCACAUGCGGGGUUGCGGGAGUCAAACUGGCUGUUGUAUCAAACAGCCGGGAAGUCAAAAAAUUGUUGUUUAGUUGAACAGUCUGGAAAGGCUGGCCGUAGAAGGUGAUAGCCCUGUAAGCGAAAAACAGCAGUCUUCCUGUUUGAUUUCCCAAGUAGUGCGGGACACGUGAAACCCCGUACUAAUCUGGGAGGACCACCUUCCAAGGCUAAAUACUAACUAGUGACCGAUAGUGGACAAGUACCGUGAGGGAAAGGUGAAAAGAACCCCUUAUAGGGGAGUGAAAUAGUACCUGAAACCGAAUGCUUACAAGCGGUGGGAGCACUAUGGGCAAUCUUCGGGUUGUCAACGUGUGACCGCGUGCCUUUUGCAUAAUGAACCGGCGACUUACUCUAUGUGGCGAAGGUUAAGUUCUUCUGGAACGAAGCCGUAGCGAAAGCGAGUAUUAACUGUGCGUAAGUUGCAUGGAGUAGACCCGAAACUGAGUGAUCUAGUCAUGGCCAGCGCGAAGCGAUAGUAAAAUAUCGUGGAGGUGCGAACUUAUGGAUGUUGAAAAAUCCCGGGAUGAGCUGUGACUAGGAGUGAAAGGCUAAUCAAACUCAGAGAUAGCUGGUUCUCUCCGAAAUAGCUUUAGGGCUAGCGUCUUGUAAAUGGACAAUAGGGGUAGAGCACUGAAUGGGCUAGGGGGCUUACCAGCUUACCGAAACCAAUCAAACUCCGAAUACUAUUGCUCCUUAUCAAGGCAGUCAGACAGUGGGGGAUAAGCUUCAUUGUCGAAAGGGAAACAGCCCAGACCGUCGGCUAAGGCCCCAAAGUGUAUGCUAAGUGGGAAAGGUUGUGGAAUUGCAUUGACAGCUAGGAUGUUGGCUUAGAGGCAGCCAUCAUUUAAAGAGUGCGUAAUAGCUCACUAGUCGAGUGAUUCUGCGCCGAUAAUGAUCGGGACUAAGCAUAUCGCCGAAGCCACGGAAUUGAUUUUACUUCGGUAAAAUCAUUUGGUAGGAGAGCGUUCUAUACUGGUUGAAGCGCAAUCGAAAGGAUGCGUGGACGGUAUAGAAGUGUUUAUGCCGGUAUGAGUAACGAUAAACAAGGUGAGAAUCCUUGUCGCCGAAAACCUAAGGUUUCCUGGGGAAGGUUCGUCCGCCCAGGGUUAGUCGAGACCUAAGCCGAGGCCGAAUGGCGUAGGCGAUGGAAAACAGGCUAAUAUUCCUGUACCGCCGGAAUAGUGUUUGAGCGAUGGAGUGACGCAGCAGGCUAAAUGAGCGUACGAUUGGAAGUGUACGUCGAAGCUUGUAGGAGGGCGGCUUUGGUAAAUCCGGGCUGCUGUUAACUCUGAGGAGUGAUAGGACGUGAAUCCUUCGGGUGAAGCGGAUUCAUUGACGCCACACUGCCAAGAAAAACUUCUAAGCGAAUUAUUCAGGCGCUCGUACCGUAAACCGACACAGGUAGGUGGGAUGAGAAUUCUAAGGCGCGCGAGAUAACUUCCGUUAAGGAACUCGGCAAAUUAGCCCCGUAACUUCGGGAAAAGGGGUGCCUUUUGUUGUGAUGAAAUUUACUUUCUGAGCAAUGAAAGGUCGCAGAGAAAUGGCCCAGGCGACUGUUUACUAAAAACACAGGACUCUGCUAAAUCGUAAGAUGACGUAUAGGGUCUGACGCCUGCCCGGUGCUGAAAGGUUAAGGGAAAGGGUUAACUUUCGGGUGAAGCUCUGAACCGAAGCCCCAGUAAACGGCGGCCGUAACUAUAACGGUCCUAAGGUAGCGAAAUUCCUUGUCGGGUAAGUUCCGACCUGCACGAAUGGUGUAACGAUCUGGGCACUGUCUCAACGGAAGACUCGGUGAAAUUGUAAUAGCGGUGAAGAUACCGCUUACCCGUAUCUAGACGGAAAGACCCCGUGAACCUUUACUAUACCCUGAUAUUGACUUCUGGUCCAGUAUGUGUAGGAUAGGUGGGAGGCUUUGAAGCUGGCUCGUUAGGGUCGGUGGAGCCAUUGGUGAAAUACCACUCUUAUUGUAUUGGAAUUCUAACCUAGGUCUGUGAAUCCAGGCCGGGAACAGUGUCAGGCGGGUAGUUUGACUGGGGCGGUUUCCUCCUAAACUGUAACGGAGGAGCACAAAGGUUCCCUCAAUACGGUUGGCAAUCGUAUGUAGAGCGUAAAGGUAAAAGGGAGCUUAACUGCGAGACACACAGGUCGAGCAGAUGCGAAAGCAGGUCUUAAUGAUCCGGCGGUUGAAUGUGGAAUUGCCGUCGCUCAUCGGAUAAAAGGUACUCCGGGGAUAACAGGCUUAUCACCCCCAAGAGUUCACAUCGACGGGGUGGUUUGGCACCUCGAUGUCGGCUCGUCGCAUCCUGGGGCUGGAGAAGGUCCCAAGGGUUUGGCUGUUCGCCAAUUAAAGCGGCACGUGAGCUGGGUUUAGAACGUCGUGAGACAGUUCGGUCCCUAUCUGGUAUGGGCGUUGGAUAUUUGAGAAGAUUAAUCCCUAGUACGAGAGGACCGGGAUUGACGAACCAAUGGUGUUCCAGUUGUCGCGCCAGCGGCAUAGCUGGGUAGCUAUGUUCGGAAAGGAUAAGCGCUGAAAGCAUCUAAGCGCUAAGCCUCCUUCAAGAUUAGAUAUCCCAAUUAGACUCCUUAUAGACUAUGAGGUUGAUAGGCCGGAGGUGCAAGCACAGUAAUGUGUUCAGCUUUACCGGUACUAAUAAGUCGAUUGGCUUGACCAUUUUUUCUU